UGUGGCAUAUGGAGGUUUCCAGGCUAGGAGUCAAAUUGGAGCUGCAGCUGCCAGCCUAAGCCACAGCCACAGCAACACAGGAUCUGAGUUGCAUCUUCAACCUAUGCUGCAGCUCUUGGCAACGCCAGACCCUUAACCCACUGAGCAAGGCCAGGGGUUGAACACACAUCCUCAUGGAAGCUAGUCGGGUUCUUAACCCACUGAGCAACAAUGGGAACUCCUGUAUUCUUCCUCAUUGAAUGGGUCAAUAAACCUGAUUUUGUUGGAUGGCAGGUUUGUGUCUGGUGGUCUUAAGCUGAUUGGGCUAGGUCAUGGGUUGAUCUGCCAGGGCAUAGAGCUGGCCAAAGAGUAGAUCUAGAGGGUCAGGUCAAAAAUAUCCAGCAAGGAAAUAAAGUCCUCUCCCCACCCCAGCCCCCACUGUCUGCAGACCAGAGUGUUAUGAGGAAGGGAGGGAGGGAGGAGAGGGACGUUGAAUCAUCCAGUGUUCACGGACAGCUGGGGCUGAAUAAAGGGUUGUGGAAAUGAAUCAAUCAGCUUCUGAGUGGGGCUGGAAGCAACAGAAAGAUCUAGGCUCCUUACUAAGGCACAAUGGCAGCACUGGGGCUCCUGACAUUUGAAGGGCUGCCUCUUUACCCCAAUGGAAAUGAGUCCAAAAAAAUGUGAAAGGAGAAAGGGGAUAAAGCAGAAUUCUUAAAAUGCCCUUCCUUUGAACACCAUCUUUGUGCAGGCAUCUGGGGGAGGCCGCUGGGGCAGGGUCAUCUGUCAGCCAGGCCUGUAGGACUUGGCUUUUCCUGUUUACUCCCAGCCACAUCUGGGGCAGUGGCCAGGGCCCGCCCCCACUCUGCCAUCAUUGGAGGAACUCAAACUUUAAAGGUCCUGCUAAGAAUCAGAACAUUUCAAUUUCCUCUUACUGGUGGGUCUGCUGUGGCCGGUCAGGAAGGGCUGAGCCGUGGUCCAGCCCCGAGUGGAGAGCCAGCCUCUCACCAUGCCAGCCUGGUGCAGCUGGAACGACGUUUUCCAGUAUGAGACAAACAAAGUCACCCGGAUCCAGAGCAUGAAUUACGGCACCAUUAAGUGGUUCUUCCACGUAUUGGUCUUUUCCUAUGUUAGGUAAGUGGGGCGUGGGGAGGGCCCUGAAUCUCUGCAGUGGCUGAAAGCAGCCCAGAAAACCUCAAGGUGCAGCUCCUGAUGCACAUUCUGAAUCCUCUGUGGUUUUAAAAUCUGCAAGCUGGGGGUGGAGGUGGGGAGUCGGGAGAGGAAGCAGGGCCAGUCUGCUGCAGGGAGAAGCCACAGGAAGGGAGUGUGACACCAUGGGUUCUAACCCAGGCCUGCUGGGGCAAGCUGGGCAGGGCAUGCCUGGAGAAGGUGGGGAAAUGCAGGGCAACACCCUGGAUUCCUGGGAAGGAGUAAAGGAUUUGGGACACGCCUGAUGAUAAUGCCGGCAUCAAUCUGAGUCAUCCCUGCUCUUGGGGAGGAAUAGGACUAGACCUGUAAAAGCAACUUCAGGUCCUCCUUGGUGUCAAGAAGACCCUUCUUGCUCCUUUUUUUUUUUGAAAAAAAACCAGCUUAUUGAGAUACAAUUCACAUACCAUACAAUGCACCCAUUUAAAGGAUACAAUUCAGCAGUUUUUAGCAUAUUCAAAGAGUUGUGCAACCAUCCACAAUUAAUUUUAGAAUAUUUUCACAGCUCCUGUCAUGGCUUAGUGGAAAAGACUCUGACUAGCAUACAUGAGGACGCAAGUUCAAUCCCUGGCCUUGCUCAGUGGGUAAGGAUCUGGCGUUGACAUGAGCUGUGGUGUAGGUUGCAGAUGUGGCUCGGAUCCCACAUUGCUGUGGCUGUGGUGUAGGCCGGCAGCUACAGCUCUGAUUCGACCCCUAGCCUGGGACCCUCCAUAUGCUGUGGGUGUGGCUCUAAAAAAAAAAAAAAGGCCAUAUUUUCAUUACCUCAUAACCAGAACAAAACAAAACCCUACAUCCCUUAACCAUCACUCUCAAUCCUCCUAUUCCCCUGCAGCUCCAGGUACCCACUGAUCUGUUUUCUGGCUCUAUGGAUUUACCUAUUUUGGAUAAUUCAUACAAAUGGAAUCACACAAUAUAUCAUCCUUUUGCAACUGUUUUCAAGGUUCAGCCAUGUUAGAACAUGUAUCUCUAUUGCAUUCCUUUUAAUGGCUGAGUAAUAUUCCAUUGUAUGGAUAUACGACUUUUGAGUGGAAGUUUGGGUUGUUUCUAAUUUUUGACUAUGAUGAAUGAUGCUGCUGUGAACAUCUGUGCACACAUUGUUUUUCGAACAUGUCUUCAGUUUUCUUUGGUAUGUACAUCUGAAUGGAACCGUUGGAUAACUUGGCAAACUCUCCUCAGUCUUUUGAGGAACCAUUCAACUGUUUUUCACAGUGGCUGCACCAUCUCAUAUUCCCACCAGCAAUGUAUGUUCCAAUUUCUCCACAUCCUCAUCAUCACUUGUUAGCGUCUGUCUUUUGGAUUACAGGCCCCAGUGAGUGAGUAUUUCAUUGUGGUUUUGAUUCAUAUUUCUCUCAUGGCAACUGCUCCCUGGCUCUUUGUGGUGGUGAUGAUGAUGAUAACUUGCAUCUAUUCAGAGAGACAGUGUACUUCACUAGCUCAAGGUUAAAGAAACCUAUUUUAUAGACCUGGCUAAGUUUUCUUGACCACGUUUAACCUCUCUGAGCUUCAGUUUCUGCAUCUGUUCAGAGAGUUGUGAUAAUUAAACAAGAAAUGGCAAGACAAACACUUAUCGAUGCCUAGUAUAGGGUAAGAGCAUCACAUAUGGUAGCUAUUUUUAAAAAUAAUCUUUUUGAAUUUAAUAGUUUCUUUCAUAUACAUCCUAUCCUUUGACCCUGAAAGUAAUCAUGCCCAUGCUUGAGAUUUGAAAUCUGGAAAUCUGGAUCCAAAAAUCCUUCACUUUUUUUGUUUUCUUUUUGUCCUUUGUCCUUGGCACAUGGAGGUUCCCAGGCCAGAGGUCUAAUCAAAGCUGUUGCUAUUGGCCUAUGCCAGAGCCACAGCAAUGCCAGAUCUGAGUUGUGUCUGUGACCUACACCACAGCUCACAGCAAUGCUGGAUCCUCAACCCACUGACCGAGGCCAGGGAUCAAACCCGCAACCUCAUGGUUCCUAGUCGGAUUCGUUUCCACUGCACCACAGCGGGAACUCCAAAAAUCCUUCACUUUUUUUGAGCCUUGGUUUCCUCAUCUGUAAAAGGGGAUAAUUGUUGUUGUGAGAAUUAAAAGAGUUAAUAAAUGUAAAGCUGCUGUGAAAAUACCUGGCAUAUGGUGAGCCCUUACGAAGUGUUAAUUCUUCUUUGUCAAUAAUAUUAUUAGGAUUAUCAUUAUUUUAUUCAUAUGGUUACUAUGCAACAAAUAUUAAAAAAUACAUAUGUAUGUUAAAAUUCUAAUAUAAGACAUAUUACUCAGACCAGAUAUCAUAGAACCGAUAAUAAAGAGCAUAGUUAGUAAAUGCUCCCUUAGGGAUCAAUACAUAGAUCAUAUGUCACAAUUCCACACUGUACUGUGGCUUCCUGGUAUUCUUGGGUCUAGUGCAGAAUGUCUUAAAAGCAGAUUAUUGCAUAUAUAAUAACAGAUUAUUAUAGAACAUCUUGUAAUGAUAAAUAUUUUUCUUUCCUAUGGUGGAAUCUUAUCCUGCAUGCAUUUAAUUCUCUCAAAUUAAGUUGUGCAUUUUCCACAGGAGCAUGGAGAGACAGAGAAAGCACAGUUUAAACAGUGCAAUGAUUCAGCAGUUGGGGGCCCCAGGGGUACAUGUGAGAUGGGGUUCCCUCAGUCAGUCUCUGUUCCCACGUUUCUUAUAGAACAAGCAUCUUGCCACCCUACCUGUGAGUAUUUCCACCCAACAUGUCCCCUAGAAUAAGCCAACUCCUUUAUUUUCAUCUGGAGCAAAACUGGAAAAACAGCCACUUGUUCCAGAGCUGGAGGGAAAACUGGCUCUCAUGAACUCAUUGGGAGGGGGAAGGUCUGUUUGCUAUGCUUUAUAGACAGUUUAAGGAUUUGCCAAAAGGCAGUUUUGUCAAGACAAAUUUGUGAAGACAAUAUUUACCUCAAGGGCUGACUUUAGAAGAUAACCCCUAUGUAAAACGCUUCUCUAUUGCUCAUAUUUUAAAAUAUACAAUUGAAGAAAAAGUAUUACCACCCUUGAUUUUUCUUCCCCUCUAUGCUAAUGGUUCAUCUAUUUACAUCUCAUUAAAUGAAGUCCCAUAGAACACAGCCUGGGAAAUGCUGCCUUAAAUUGGACUGUGAGGCCUCAAGCUGAUAGAAUUGCAGAUUGCCCAUCUGUGAAAUGGGUAGACCCAUGGUGCAAAGAGAUUCAAUGAGGUAGUUUGCAUCAAAUAGGACUGGUAUGGAUCAUAGGUGGAAGUCCAGACAGGCCCGGAUAACAUUCAGGAUAUAAGGCGAGAGGUGGUGGAUUCUGGCCAUGGGGUUCAUGGCCCUCUGGCAGAAAAGGCAAAAAGCCAGGAUAAUGAAGUAAGAUAAGAAGGUACAAGGCAGAGGCUGGCAAUAGAGGAAAGAGGCUGAUCGGAUUUUCACAGUCCCUCACAACCUGGUUCCAAUUUGUAGUCAAAGGCAGGGGCUGUAGCUACAGGCAAGAUCCAGUGGCUCCAGCUUCCAGGGCAAGAGUGUGUGGAGAGGAUGCUGAGUAGGCCUGCAUUAGUCAGAACUGUUUGCAUAUUAAGUGACAGAAACCUAAUGCAAGUUAGCCACCAAGCCACACAGAGGAAUUUAUUGUCUUAACUGGACAGCAGAAGAAAUAGCUCUCUUCUGAAGCAGAUGGUUAUAAAAGUUCAAACUGUGUCAGACUGUGGGGGCUGGGUCUCUCUCCCCACAUCUUUUUUUUUUUCCCCCAUUUAUGUUUCUCUCCCCACAUCUUGGCUCUACUCAGCUUUCUUCUUGAAUAGGCUCUCUAUGUAGCAAGAUAGUACAUUCACAUCUUCACAUCCUCCCCUUUUAGCAAUCCCAGAGGAACAAAAGAGACUCUUCUGAGAGCUCUGGCAGGAAAGUCAUAGGAAAGGCUCUGAUUGGUUCAGUUUGACUUACAUACCCAUCCCUGAACCAAACCCUGUGUUUGGGGAUGUGUCAACUGAUUGGUGAGCCCUAGAUCACAUGCUGGCUUCUAUGGCAGGAAGUAGGGAGAAGGUGGCAGGACCGAAUGAGUGGAACCUAAACAAUGUCCUGUGGGUCGUCCUUGGGAAAGAAGAAUUCGGCUGCCAAAAUAAAAUAGUGAAAGGAUGGGGUAGGGAGAGAGCCAGACAAAAUGCAAACAUCUGUUACAAGGUCUUUCCAAAAGCCAGAAAUUCCAGGGACAUCUGAAGGCUACUGCUCUAUCCCUGACUUGUCUCAACCCAGCACCUGUGCUGUGGAGACUCUGCCCCAAGUUAUUGCCAAAACUGGGACCUAGGUGUUCUCAACAGAAAUUCCCUCUGAGAAUCAGUUCUUGGAACUCCAUAUAGUCUUCCAGUCCGGGUUCUAUUCUGUCCUCUGGCCUCGAUGAGAUGGGAAGAAUGGGAUAAUGAUGUUUAUCCUCCAUGAGAACUGAGAUUCAAAUGCCUGAAUGACCAUAAAGAGAGCUUCCUUCUAUUGUUGGCUUUAUUUAUACCAUCUCAUUUGUACUAGGACUUAGGUGUUUUUUUUCCUUAUUUCACAGAUAAGGAAAUGGAAGGCAUGAAAGAAGGAGUUCAAUUAUAAAAAUCAUCCAGUUAGAAAUCAAAUUCCGGAACGGAUUCAAAUCCAAAGCCAAUGCUCUUAAUCCACAAACCACAUUGCUAAAGUGGAACUUGUCAGACUUUGAAAGCCUAGGCACUAGGCCUCGUCAACCCUUAGGCCAAUCAUUCUUCCUUUUCACCAUCAUCUUCUUUGUCUUUCUGAGUGGGCCAGGGCAAGUGAGAAAUGAGCAUCCCAUGAGUGUGGCUUUCUCCAUUGUUUAUUCAUUUCCCAAAUUUUAGAGUAUCUACUCUGAGUCAGGCUCUGUUAUUCAGUGGCACGAGGGGCUGUAACAAUGAGUGAAACAAAGAUCUUGCAACUCAUUGGAGUAUAUUCUAAUAUUCCAAUGGAGGAAAGUGAUAUAAUACAAAAAAAGCAAGGAGACAUAAUAAAAUGUCUGAUGGUGUUAAGUGCUAUGAAGAAUAACAAAUCAGGGAAGAGGACAACAAAUGAGCAUAUAUGUGACACAGACAUUUGGGCUGAGAUGGGUACGAAGAGAGGGAAAAAGCAAUGGAGUGUCAGGAAGAGUGUUUCUGGUGGAGAGAACAGGAAGUGCAAAGGCCCUGAGGUUGGGACUUAAUAGGGUAUUCAAGGGAAAGCAAGGAGGUUUGUGGCUGGAGAAGCUAGGGGUCGAAUCAGAGCUGCAGCUACUGGCCUACGCCACAAACAUAGCAAUGACAGAUCCGAGCUGCAUCUAUGACCUGCACCACAGCUCAUGUCAAUGCCAGAUCCUUAACCCACUGAGCAAGGCCAGG
RNAcentral lists this long non-coding RNA (6474 nucleotides) under Sus scrofa (pig). RNAcentral describes it as "lncRNA (ENSSSCG00065020451.1)". Lineage: Eukaryota; Metazoa; Chordata; Mammalia; Artiodactyla; Suidae. The record is from RNAcentral.